AAAUCUAGCUAUAUGUCUGGUAAAUUUCAAAUUGUUAUGACAAAUGAAAGCUUUUCGCCGACUGUAAACUGUAAAAUUUUACCUAAAGUGAACUACUUAGUACUUAAUUUGACUGAUUUAAUUGAAAAUGCAUCAACUUUCACUUUAUGUACUACAUUUCUAACGCGAUUAAAGUGUCAUGUCUAGAUAAUUUUAUAGUAACCAUGUAAAGAAUACUGUUAAGUUUUUGAAAAAGCAUCAGUUUAUAUUGAAUUCUGUUUCAGCCGCGUUAACUUUAAUUUUUUUAGGCUGAAUAAAAUACAUUUGCGCAUCUGACAUUAGCGAUAGUUAGUUGUCAAAAGAAAUCGAAAUGUAUAUGUUAUUUCAAGAUAUCUUAUUUUAAGACAUUUUGUUCAGAAUGUCCUUUUUGGUUUAAAAAUAUGAAUUAUUAUAAUCAUUGUAGUACUAAAGCGCAUUUACAUUUCAGACAUUUGUGUGCCAGGAAUGCGGAAGGGCUUAUAAUUCCAAAAAAAGCCUUCUGCGCGACGAAAGAGGCCACAGAAAUCUUGGACCUUACAUGUCUAACUGCGGCGAGCGGUCUAUUCCGGACUACAUUUCUGUGCGGAAAGCUAUUCCAGACUGGCGGCCAUGACAGAUGUGGGUUGGAAAUCAUAAAGAGUGACUGAGUACUUUGAUAUGUAGCAAAGAAGUUCAUUGUUGAUGAUAGUGUUUCUUUAUGAUUUAUUGAAUACGAUCAGAAAUACAGAGCUCUCAAUGCUGUAAA
Mercenaria mercenaria is the source of this 763-nucleotide long non-coding RNA. RefSeq lists it as uncharacterized. NCBI's taxonomy places the organism in Eukaryota, Metazoa, Mollusca, Bivalvia, Venerida, Veneridae. The record is from RefSeq and is a predicted model, not a curated record. The transcript is spliced from 2 exons.